This 484-nucleotide ribosomal RNA is filed under the name uncultured bacterium. RNAcentral's name for it is "partial 16S ribosomal RNA". It matches the Rfam family "Bacterial small subunit ribosomal RNA", at positions 30 to 507 of the family's 1533-position model. The record is from RNAcentral.
AUUGAACGCUGGCGGCAGGCCUAACACAUGCAAGUCGAGCGGAUGAAGGGAGCUUGCUCCUGGAUUCAGCGGCGGACGGGUGAGUAAUGCCUAGGAAUCUGCCUGGUAGUGGGGGAUAACGUCCGGAAACGGGCGCUAAUACCGCAUACGUCCUGAGGGAGAAAGUGGGGGAUCUUCGGACCUCACGCUAUCAGAUGAGCCUAGGUCGGAUUAGCUAGUUGGUGGGGUAAAGGCCUACCAAGGCGACGAUCCGUAACUGGUCUGAGAGGAUGAUCAGUCACACUGGAACUGAGACACGGUCCGGACUCCUACGGGAGGCAGCAGUGGGGAAUAUUGGACAAUGGGCGAAAGCCUGAUCCAGCCAUGCCGCGUGUGUGAAGAAGGUCUUCGGAUUGUAAAGCACUUUAAGUUGGGAGAAAGGGCAGUAAGUUAAUACCUUGCUGUUUUGACGUUACCAACAGAAUAAGCACCGGCUAACUUCGUG